This is a long non-coding RNA of Pecten maximus, 265 nucleotides long. RefSeq lists it as uncharacterized. The record is from RefSeq and is a predicted model, not a curated record. The transcript has 3 exons. NCBI's taxonomy places the organism in Eukaryota, Metazoa, Mollusca, Bivalvia, Pectinida, Pectinidae.
CGAUUGCAGGAUUUUGUGUUAAGUUACUGAAAUAUCUUUAGCAUACUUCACUGUCCAUGUAACGACGGAAAGCUCACCUAGACCAACAGAAUGCCAAAAUUAGACGCAAAACAACAGGCAGAUGUAAAAGAAAAGUUCGGCCUUGUAGACGAGGAUAAGACCGGGUCGCUGAACAUCGACGAACUGAAACUAUUACUGGCCCUACUAAAUAUUAAUAAAACCGAUAAGGAUAUGGCUGCUUUCAUGGAUCGUGCCGACAGCGGAA